Molecule: long non-coding RNA, 1671 nt
Organism: Gallus gallus (chicken)
Lineage: Eukaryota; Metazoa; Chordata; Aves; Galliformes; Phasianidae
Exons: 2
Source: RefSeq, a predicted model, not a curated record
CUUCCCAAAAUAGUGGCAGCAUCUCCCAGCCCAGGGCGGUUCUUGAUUUCUCCACACCUCAGUUUCCCAUCUGUCUAAUGGGAAUAAUAACACCGACCCAUUUCAUAGAUACAUUAGCGUUCCAGAAGCACUUAGAUGCUAUGGUAACAGGCGGCAUUACGCCGCCCACGCUCCCCCAUGCUGACUCCAUUAUUCAGCAGAACGCAGCCAGGCCAGAAGAAGCUUCCUGCCAUGCUGGAUGAAGGAUGGGCAACACACCUUGCAGACCUCAGCCCCUUUCUACGUGCCGUGCGGGACACAUCGGCUGCUCUCUGGAUGAGCAGCUUCAUCAGAGAAAUCUCAUGAGAGCAUCGGGCAGGAUUGGAGCAGCGCCUGUCCUGAGCAGGGAGGAACAAUCCCUUCUGUGGCCCUCAGCACGAGCAGCAAAAUCCAAAAGCUAUCUGAGGCUGAGCACAGCCUUUGGGGGCACCUCCACCCGCCCCAGAGACGUUGCAAGUAGGCAUAAUUUCCUCUAGUGGUGGAAACUGAGCUAAAACGCAGCCAACAGCUCAAGGUCAGAGCAUCCCUGCCAGCUUGUCCUUGGGACUGCAGAGCCCCUGCCCUACACCUCAAGGCAGAGCUCUGCAUCAGGCCGUGCAUUCCCCUUCUCUCCUCCACAGCCACUCCACGCUGUUGGUAUUCAAGUUCCAAACCAUUAAAAGAAAAAGUUCCUAACAAGCUCGAGUGCAGUGACCUCAUUCCGCAUGCAGCAGCCUCGUGUGUUGCAGCAGAUAUUUUAUUCUUCCCAUAUUAGAGGUGAAAAGCGUGUAUUUAGGGAAGGCACCACGGUGUGAGACGUCAGGAAGGAUGGCAGGGAGUCAGCUUUCCCUUCCCUGGAGGAGGCUGUCCUCUCUGCUCACAGCCUGCUCACCCACGCACCCCACUGCCAACACAACUCAAUCCAUGGGGCAAACUGAGGCAGGCGGGCUCACGGGGCCACGUUUCUGCUGCUUGUGUGGCUGUGCUCCAUUGCCAACUCAGCUCUGGGGGCAGUUUGCAGCAGCAGCAUUCACGCACCCUGCGUGGACGGGGCCAGAUCCCAAGCUAAAGCUCAGCUCCUCCACCCCCUGCAGCCUUCAAAGGCUCACGCUGCACCAGCUUCAUUCACCCCUUUCAUCCAACUCUACCAUUUCCAAAAUAAAUAGGUUUUUAUCAGCACAGUUGUUACAUCUGACCAAGAGGAGCUGCUCCUAUGGAACAAACAACCUGCACCGCAGCCAGCACCACUGUCCUGCGCUCAGCAGAAAGCCUGCAGCUCUGUCGCCGUUUCUUGCAUCCGAGCCACUCGCAUGGCUCUGCCAACCUCCACCACCUGCUCUGCUUUUCCACGCUUUGGCCCCGGCUUCUGCGGACCUCUGUAGUGCAAAAACCACCCUGGCAUCUCGUGGACCCUUCCAGCGAGCAAUGGGGUUUGCAGCCUCCGCCGCGGCACCAUCAGGCACGGCUGGCUGCGAUGCUAAUGCACUGCGAUUCCGCCGCGCGGAGUAAUGGACAUUGCAGCACGAAAUUAACGGUGCAUCUGCUCCUCGCUGCAGACGCCGGAGAGAGUGGGCUGUAAUUUCGUCUCCGAUCCCCCAAAUAAUGUUUGUUGUCGUGCUGUAAUCUUGGCAAUCAAUGUAACAGCUGAACAGA